AGUGAACGCUGGCGGUAGGCCUAACACAUGCAAGUCGAACGGCAGCACAGUAAGAGCUUGCUCUUACGGGUGGCGAGUGGCGGACGGGCGAGGAAUACAUCGGAAUCUACUUUUUCGUGGGGGAUAACGUAGGGAAACUUACGCUAAUACCGCAUACGACCUACGGGUGAAAGCAGGGGAUCUUCGGACCUUGCGCGAUUGAAUGAGCCGAUGUCGGAUUAGCUAGUUGGCGGGGUAAAGGCCCACCAAGGCGACGAUCCGUAGCUGGUCUGAGAGGAUGAUCAGCCACACUGGAACUGAGACACGGUCCAGACUCCUACGGGAGGCAGCAGUGGGGAAUAUUGGACAAUGGGCGCAAGCCUGAUCCAGCCAUACCGCGUGGGUAAAGAAGGCCUUCGGGUUGUAAAGCCCUUUUGUUGGGAAAGAAAAGCAGCAGGUUAAUACCCCGCUGUUCUGACGGUACCCAAAGAAUAAGCACCGGCUAACUUCGUG
RNAcentral lists this ribosomal RNA (492 nucleotides) under uncultured bacterium. Its description in RNAcentral is "partial 16S ribosomal RNA". It matches the Rfam family "Bacterial small subunit ribosomal RNA", at positions 29 to 507 of the family's 1533-position model. The record is from RNAcentral.